UUGAACGCUGGCGGCAUGCCUUACACAUGCAAGUCGAACGGCAGCACGGAGCUUGCUCUGGUGGCGAGUGGCGAACGGGUGAGUAAUAUAUCGGAACGUACCCUGGAGUGGGGGAUAACGUAGCGACAGUUACGCUAAUACCGCAUACGAUCUACGGAUGAAAGUGGGGGAUCGCAAGACCUCAUGCUCUUGGAGCGGCCGAUCUCUGAUUAUCUAGUUGGUAGGUUAAAAGCCUACCAAGGCAUCGAUCAGUAGCGGGUCUGAGAGGGCGACCAGCCACACUGGAACUGAGACACGGUCCAGACUCCUACGGGAGGCAGCAGUGGGGAAUGUUGGACAAUGGGCGAAAGCCUGAUCCAGCAAUGCCGCGGGAGUGAAGAAGGCCUUCGGGUUGUAAAG
Molecule: ribosomal RNA, 399 nt
Filed under: uncultured bacterium
Lineage: Bacteria
Description: bacterial SSU rRNA
Rfam family: Bacterial small subunit ribosomal RNA
Source: RNAcentral